Molecule: ribosomal RNA, 297 nt
Filed under: uncultured bacterium
Lineage: Bacteria
Description: partial 16S ribosomal RNA
Rfam family: Bacterial small subunit ribosomal RNA
Source: RNAcentral
GGUAGUCCACGCCGUAAACGAUGGAUACUAGCUGUUGGAGGUAUCGACCCCUUCAGUAGCGAAGCUAACGCGUUAAGUAUCCCGCCUGUGGAGUACGGUCGCAAGACUAAAACAUAAAGGAAUUGACGGGGACCCGCACAAGCGGUGGAUUGUGUUCUUUAAUUCGAUGAUAAACGAUAAACCUUACCAGGGUUUGACAUCCCAAGAAUUUUGCCGAAAGGCGAGAGUGCUUUAUUGAACUUGGUGACAGCUGUUGCAUGGCCGUCGUCAGCUCGUGUCGUGAGAUGUUUGGUUAAG